This 902-nucleotide ribosomal RNA is filed under the name Ochrocladosporium frigidarii. Its description in RNAcentral is "LSU rRNA". It matches the Rfam family "Eukaryotic large subunit ribosomal RNA", at positions 38 to 958 of the family's 3401-position model. Lineage: Eukaryota; Fungi; Ascomycota; Dothideomycetes; Pleosporales. The record is from RNAcentral.
GCAUAUCAAUAAGCGGAGGAAAAGAAACCAACAGGGAUUGCCCUAGUAACGGCGAGUGAAGCGGCAACAGCUCAAAUUUGAAAUCUGGCUCUUUCAGAGUCCGAGUUGUAAUUUGCAGAGGGCGCUUUGGCGUUGGCAGCGGUCCAAGUUCCUUGGAACAGGACGUCACAGAGGGUGAGAAUCCCGUACGUGGUCGCUAACCUUCGCCGUGUAAAGCCCCUUCGACGAGUCGAGUUGUUUGGGAAUGCAGCUCUAAAUGGGAGGUAAAUUUCUUCUAAAGCUAAAUACUGGCCAGAGACCGAUAGCGCACAAGUAGAGUGAUCGAAAGAUGAAAAGCACUUUGGAAAGAGAGUCAAAUAGCACGUGAAAUUGUUGAAAGGGAAGCGCUUGCAGCCAGACUUGCCUGUAGUUGCUCAUCCGGGCUUUUGCCCGGUGCACUCUUCUGCGGGCAGGCCAGCAUCAGUUUGGGCGGUUGGAUAAAGAUCUCUAUCACGUACCUCUCUUCGGGGAGGCCUUAUAGGGGAGAUGUCAUACAACCAGCCUGGACUGAGGUCCGCGCAUCUGCUAGGAUGCUGGCGUAAUGGCUGUAAGCGGCCCGUCUUGAAACACGGACCAAGGAGUCUAACAUCUAUGCGAGUGUUUGGGUGUCAAGCCCGAGCGCGUAAUGAAAGUGAACGGAGGUGGGAACCCUUAAGGGUGCACCAUCGACCGAUCCUGAUGUCUUCGGAUGGAUUUGAGUAAGAGCAUGGCUGUUGGGACCCGAAAGAUGGUGAACUAUGCUUGAAUAGGGUGAAGCCAGAGGAAACUCUGGUGGAGGCUCGCAGCGGUUCUGACGUGCAAAUCGAUCGUCAAAUUUGGGCAUAGGGGCGAAAGACUAAUCGAACUAUCUAGUAGCUGGUCUG